UUUGUUUAUAUCUAUAUAAAGAGUCCAACCUGCCCAGUGAUAUAUUGUUUAACGGCCGCGGUACUUUGACCGUGCAAAGGUAGCAUAAUCAUUUGCCUUAUAAUUGAAGGCUUGUAUGAAUGGUUUAACAAGAAUUAAUUUGUCUCUUGUUAAUUAAAAUGAAAUUGACUUUUAGGUGUAAAGGCCUAGAUGUUACUAAUAGACAAGAAGACCCUAUUGAGCUUGAAAAAUUUAUGGUGAUAUUAGGUAUAUUGUAAACAAAAUUAUAAAUUAUUAAGGUUUUUAGUUGGGGCGACUAUUGGAACAAACAGAGCUUCCAGAAAUUUCAUAAUAUCUGAUGUUAAUUUAUUUAAAUUGGAUCCAAAAUAUUUUGAUUAAUAGAAUAAGUUACCAUAGGGAUAACAGCAUAAUCUAUCUUAAGAGCUCUAAUCGAAAGAAAGGUUUGUGACCUCGAUGUUGGAUUAAAAUAUCCUAAGGGUGUAGAAG
This 486-nucleotide ribosomal RNA is filed under the name Pila scutata. RNAcentral describes it as "partial 16S ribosomal RNA". It matches the Rfam family "Bacterial large subunit ribosomal RNA", at positions 1822 to 2561 of the family's 2925-position model. The record is from RNAcentral. Lineage: Eukaryota; Metazoa; Mollusca; Gastropoda; Architaenioglossa; Ampullariidae.